GGGCCGCGCCGGGGAGGCCGUGCCCGCUGCGGGAGGGGAGUCGCCCAUUAAUAGGGCUGGGGACGGCAGUGGGGGCGCUGCCGCCGGGGGAGCCCAGCCCGGCAGCCGGCGGAGAUGGCGGUGGCGGGCGCAGCUGCGGGGCCGCAGCGGCAGCUGGAUAACGGUUCCUUGGAGAUAACGCAGAGCACAGAAGAUGAUCCUCUACUUGAUGCACCACUUCUUCCACCUCAUGCAUUACAUUCCCAACUGAGACCGAGAUUCCAUGCUAUUCCUACAGUCUUGAUUGCCAACUUUCUGUUGCUUAUACAUGUUGCUUUUGUUGUCUUAGUAUUUUUAGCAGGUAUAUAUUGUUCUUAUGUAAACCCAAAUGAGGACGAAUGCCCCGGAAACUACACCAACCCACUUAAGGUGCAAAGUGUCAUAAUCAUUGCAAAGGUAAUUCUGUGGAUUCUGCAUGUUGUCUUUGAACGAUAUCUUCAGCAUCAUCACAGUAAAGUCAGAUGCAGAGGAUACCUCAUGAUCUACCGAUCAACAAGACAUCUUAAAAGACUGCCACUCCUUAUACAUUCUACAGGAAAUGCAGCCCUGCUUCUGAUACUGUCAGCUCAGCAUUCCUUUCCUAACUACAGUAAAAAGUAUCUCUACCUUAUCCUUGGAGUCUUGUGUCUGGAGCUGAUUUCUUCUUUGACAUGCAUAGUCAUUUACACAGUGAAAAUAAGCAAUUUCAACAAGGCAAGGCCAAGGCCUGAUAUAAUUGAAGAAGAAAAGAUGUAUGCUUACCCCAGUCACAUUACUUCGGAGAUUGGAUUCAGGGAAAGCUCAGGUUUGGAAGAAAUAGUUGAAAAGCAAGGAGAUGUGAUAGACUAUCUCCAGCGACACAAUGCCCUGCUCAGCAAGAAACUACUAGCACUAACAUCACAGCAAAUCAGAGGUUAGAAAUAUCCAGGAAGCUGCUGCUGCAUUUCAAGAGGAAUCCAAAGCAAUGUAAUUUGAUUUGGAGGACAUACAACACAACUUGAUUACUGUCUCUAAUGGAAGUAGUAUAGCUCUCAAGUUGGAAGUAUGCAUUCAUAUUAGAAAUGUAAAAUCUGCAGCUGGAGAUACUGACUAGUCUGAACAGACACUUUCUUUGAGGACAUUAACUUUUGCUGGGCUGAAGUUGGACCUGAGCUCCCUGACUAAACUUUGUUUUUACGUUGUUCAAUUGAGAUUUUUUUGCACAGCUGUAACAAACUCCAAACUACCAAAGUCUUCUGUGCUUCUAGAACCCAAACAUUUGUUUUCCAGAAUGAAACAUUGCAAGGAUUUUGGACCAGUCUGGAAAAGCAAGACUUUUGGAUAUGGCAUUUAAUCUGUACUGCCAGAUAGCAGCAUUUAGAUGGAGAAGGCACUUUCCUAAACUGCUGAUCACAGUAAAACCCUGCAAAGAGGAAGAACAGGAUCUACUCGUUUAUGAAUACUCCAGGUGCCUAUGUUCUAAAGGUAACAUGAGGAGGGCUAAUAAAAACUUCUUAAGGGCGCCUCUCUCCAGCAAGUUCCUACAAAGGUGGUGGCAGCCUUAUCUAUCAUGGAUAAGUUCCUCUAAAUUCCUGCUGCCCGGACAAGAGUAAGUUUGGGUUAGCUUGAUGCAGCUGGUUCCUACUGGAGCAUCCCGCUGAAGCUAGCUUGUAGCAAAGUAGUAGGUAAUAGCAUCUUCACUCACUUGGCUGUUCUUAAAGCAAACUUCUCCACUGCAUCAGUGGAAAAAGCUAAUGGGCCGUGUGCAAGAGUAAUACUUGGUACUAAGCCAUGUGGGAAACCUGCCUAAGUGAGAGGAUAGCCCAAGCAGAGCACCUCAUGGCUCCUCUUACAGUGAAUCCUCUAGCUCCACACCAAUGGAGAAACUAAGAUCUGAAUGCAAUGAUUGCAGACUAGAAUCUAGCGCUUCUUCACAAUCUCACUGGAACUAGGGCUUGGUCUAAACAUGGAAUUUAUGUUGGUAUAACUACAUUGCUCAGGGGUGUGGAAAAUCCACUCCUGGUCAACAUAGUUACAGCGAUCUAACUCCCGAUGUAGAGUGCUAUGUCAAUGGGAGUGCUUCUACCACCUCUUGGGAACAUGGAGUUUCUAUGCCAACGAAAGUAGCUCUCCUAUUGGCAUAGGUAGCGUCUUCAUUAAGUGCUACAGUGGUGAAGCUGCACCACUGCAAGUGUAGACGAGCCCUUGGUUUGGUAUUGCUGUCUAAUAAUAGAGCACAAUCUUAAAUUCAGAUUUGGUUCAGCUAUAGCUGCCUUCUGUGACCUCAGUUUCUUUUCUGUCCCAUUCUGAGACUUAAUUGCUCAAUCUGCAAGAAGCUUCCUUUGGAGGAUUCCCCGGAAAACAAAUCAUAAGAGGUCUCUGAGCCUUGCAGGGGUGAGUCUGGUGGCUCAGACAAUGGUGGGGGCUAAAAAGGGCCAGGGCCAGGUACCACGAGAUUUCCAGCCCCCAGAGGAUUUCCAGAGUGGGCUGGAGGUCUUAGAACCAUGAUAGGAGCUCUGUACUUAGGGCCACUUCCUAUUUUGUUGGUUUCUAGUAGUCAAGGAAGACCAGGGUAACAGAUAAUCACAUGGAUUACAGGCAGCAGUUUGGCAAUGACCAAACCAACUCAAUUAUGCAGGGCAUGUGGCUGGCCAACUGCAGUAUUGGGACCAAGAACCUGUGGGGCAGCAGGAUGGGCUAACGGACCUGGGGCAGCUACUUGAUGCAGGGGCCUGUGUUGCCUAUCCCAUGUGGGGAAGCAAUGGGGAAAAUUCAGGAAGGCAAGAGGAAACAGCAAAAGGCCAGGAAGGGAACUACAUCCUAAGCAUCCUGGAGAUGAUGUGCAGCUGGAAAAAAUGUGCAGGGCAAUAUGACACCUCUGCCUUGCAGCAGAGUGAUUUCGCAAACAAUUGGGGCCCACUGUGAGGGCAGGGGGGCAGGCCCCAGGGUUCUAGCGUCCUCAGUGGGUAUUGUCAUAACCAUACAGCUAAGGGUAGCCUAGAAUCUCUCCUUAUCUGUAAGGGGUUAAGAAGCUCAAAUAACCUGGUUGGCACCUGACCAAAAGGACCAAUGGGGAAAGAAGAUACUUUCAAAUCUGGGGCGGGGAAGGCUUUGUUUGUGCUCUUUAUUUUUGUGUUCUCUUGGGAAGCAGAGAAGCACCAGGUCAGAAAACUCCUCCUCCUAUAAACCAUCCUAAAGUGAGUCUCAAUAUUGCAAAAAGAGUAAGUAAAUAAGGCAGGGUGCGUUCGAUUACCUUUCGUUUUCAACUUGUGAAUUUUCCCUAUGUUAAGAGGGAGGUUUAUCUCUGUUUUUUGUAACUGUAAAGUUUUGCCUAGAGGGGAAUCCUCUGUUUUGAAUCCGAUUGCCCUGUAAAGUUACCUUCCAUCCUGAUUUUAGAGGUGCUUCUUUUACUUUUUUUCUCUUUAUAAUAAAGUUCUGUUUUUUUAAGAA
Molecule: RNA transcript, 3447 nt
Organism: Caretta caretta (loggerhead turtle)
Lineage: Eukaryota; Metazoa; Chordata; Testudines; Cheloniidae
Gene: TMEM192
Gene name: transmembrane protein 192
Source: RefSeq, a predicted model, not a curated record